AAGUCGUAACAAGGUUUCCGUAGGUGAACCUGCGGAAGGAUCAUUACCGAGUUAGGGUGCUUAAACCGCGCCCGACCUCCAACCCUUUGUCUACCUGACCUUAUGUUGCUUCGGCAGGCCCGCGUCCCCCUUCUCGGGGGAGGCCGCCGGGGGUCCUUCGUGGCCCCGGGCCCGCGCCUGUCGAUGGCCCUUCUUAAACUAUUGUUAAAACGUGUCGUCUGAGUUAUCUAAACAAAUGAAAUUAAAACUUUCAACAACGGAUCUCUUGGUUCUG
RNAcentral lists this unclassified non-coding RNA (274 nucleotides) under Cyphellophora europaea. Its description in RNAcentral is "partial internal transcribed spacer region". The stretch from base 1 to 46 matches the Rfam family "Eukaryotic small subunit ribosomal RNA", at positions 1786 to 1831 of the family's 1831-position model. The record is from RNAcentral. RNAcentral also lists the same sequence under 1 other name. Lineage: Eukaryota; Fungi; Ascomycota; Eurotiomycetes; Chaetothyriales; Cyphellophoraceae.